CAAGCAAUGGGGUAACUGUAACUGUGGAUAUCAAUCAACAUCUUCAGUUUCUGGUUCUUCAACAUGUGGUGGUACAGCAAAUGGUGCUCGUUGCUAUUUUCCGUUUCUCUACAAGGGUGUCAAAUAUACAUCUUGCACGAGCAAAGAUCAUAACCAGGCGUGGUGUGCAACAAGAGGAGGAAAUUAUUAUACACACAAACAAUGGGGAAACUGUAAUUGUGGAAGCCAGCCCGCACCUUCAGGGUCUGUUCCUAAAACAUGUGGAGGUACAGCAAAUGGUGCUCGUUGCUAUUUUCCGUUUCUAUACAAGAGUGUGACAUACACAUCUUGUACCAACAAAGAUCAUAACCAGCUGUGGUGUGCCACCAAAGGAG
Molecule: long non-coding RNA, 374 nt
Organism: Corticium candelabrum
Lineage: Eukaryota; Metazoa; Porifera; Homoscleromorpha; Homosclerophorida; Plakinidae
Exons: 4
Source: RefSeq, a predicted model, not a curated record